AUACAUGCAAGUCGAGCGCACCUUCGGGUGAGCGCCGGACGGGUGAGUAACGCGUGGGAACGUGCCCUUUGGUACGGGAUAACUGAGGGAAACUUCAGCUAAUACCGUAUGUGCCCUACGGGGGAAAGAUUUAUCGCCAUUGGAGCGGCCCGCGUUGGAUUAGGUAGUUGGUGGGGUAAAGGCCCACCAAGCCGACGAUCCAUAGCUGGUCUGAGAGGAUGAUCAGCCACACUGGGACUGAGACACGGCCCAGACUCCUACGGGAGGCAGCAGUAGGGAAUCUUGCGCAAUGGGCGAAAGCCUGACGCAGCCAUGCCGCGUGAAUGUUGAAGGUCUUAGGAUUGUAAAAUUCUUUCACCGGGGAAGAUAAUGACGGUACCCGGAGAAGAAGCCCCGGCUAACUUCGUGCCAGCAGCCGCGGUAAUACGAAGGGGGCUAGCGUUGCUCGGAAUUACUGGGCGUAAAGGGCGCGUAGGCGGAUGUUUAAGUCGGGGGUGAAAGCCCGGGGCUCAACCUCGGAAUUGCCUUCGAUACUGGACAUCUUGAGUACGGGAGAGGUGAGUGGAACUCCGAGUGUAGAGGUGAAAUUCGUAGAUAUUCGGAAGACACCAGUGGCGAAG
RNAcentral lists this ribosomal RNA (620 nucleotides) under uncultured Alphaproteobacteria bacterium. RNAcentral's name for it is "bacterial SSU rRNA". It matches the Rfam family "Bacterial small subunit ribosomal RNA", at positions 51 to 720 of the family's 1533-position model. The record is from RNAcentral. Lineage: Bacteria; Pseudomonadati; Pseudomonadota; Alphaproteobacteria.